UUAAUUAAUUUUGACAAUUUAAAUGGUUAUUUUAAAGAUGAUCCCAAUGAGUUCAUAUAAUUAACAUAAACUGAUACUUAGAUACAGUAAGAUUCAUUAAAUACAUUAUCUAUUUAACAACAGAAGGGCUGGUAUUGACGUCACCAGGAAGUUGACGUGAAACUUUCCUCGUGAACGUUCUGUUUACAGUUUGACAGUUGACAGACAGUUCAUUCAUUCACGAAGCUAAAGACAUGACUAUGAUCGCCCUCCGUGGCACAAUUUAAAUCCUACAGAAAGCAUAAGUCUUUUCACACCAUCUUUAAUGGAGCAAUAAAUGAGCACGGCUGCUCGUAUCUUCUUCAA
Molecule: long non-coding RNA, 345 nt
Organism: Engraulis encrasicolus (European anchovy)
Lineage: Eukaryota; Metazoa; Chordata; Actinopteri; Clupeiformes; Engraulidae
Exons: 2
Source: RefSeq, a predicted model, not a curated record